This 253-nucleotide ribosomal RNA is filed under the name uncultured bacterium. RNAcentral describes it as "partial 16S ribosomal RNA". It matches the Rfam family "Bacterial small subunit ribosomal RNA", at positions 524 to 776 of the family's 1533-position model. The record is from RNAcentral.
UACAGAGGGUGCAAGCGUUGCUCGGAAUCAUUGGGCGUAAAGGGUAGGUAGGUGGUCUCGUUUGUCUGGGGUGAAAGCCUUGAGCUUAACUCAAGAAGUGCCUUAGAAACGGCGAGACUGGAGUCUUGGAGAGGGUCGUGGAAUUCCCGGUGUAGCGGUGGAAUGCGCAGAUAUCAGGAGGAACACCGGUGGCGAAGGCGGGUCUCUGGGCAGUAACUGACGCUGAGGAGCGAAAGCGUGGGGAGCGAACAGG